CCUACGGGAGGCAGCAGUGAGGAAUAUUGCGCAAUGGGGGAAACCCUGACGCAGCAACGCUGCGUGGGCGAUGAAGGCCUUCGGGUCGUAAAGCUCUGUCAGAGGGGAAGAAAUGCAGGUGAUGAACAACCAUUCUGUUUGACGGUACCCUCAAAGGAAGCACCGGCUAACUCCGUGCCAGCAGCCGCGGUAAUACGGAGGGUGCGAGCGUUGUUCGGAAUUAUUGGGCGUAAAGCGCGUGUAGGCGGUUUGUUAAGUCUGAUGUGAAAGCCCCGGGCUCAACCUGGGAAGUGCAUUGGAUACUGGCAGACUUGAGUACGGGAGAGGAGAGUGGAAUUCCCAGUGUAGGAGUGAAAUCCGUAGAUAUUGGGAGGAACACCGGUGGCGAGGGCGGCUCUCUGGACCGAUACUGACGCUGAGACGCGAAAGCGUGGGGAGCAAACAGGAUUAGAUCCCCGUGUAGU
Molecule: ribosomal RNA, 464 nt
Filed under: uncultured Geobacteraceae bacterium
Lineage: Bacteria; Pseudomonadati; Thermodesulfobacteriota; Desulfuromonadia; Geobacterales; Geobacteraceae
Description: partial 16S ribosomal RNA
Rfam family: Bacterial small subunit ribosomal RNA
Source: RNAcentral